UACGGAGGGUGCAAGCGUUACCCGGAAUCACUGGGCGUAAAGGGCGUGUAGGCGGACCACUAAGUCUGGCUUUGAAGACCGGAGCUCAACUCCGGGCAUGGGCUGGGUACUGGUGGUCUGGACCUCUGGAGAGAGAACUGGAAUUCCUGGUGUAGCGGUGGAAUGCGUAGAUACCAGGAGGAACACCGAUGGCGAAGGCAGGUUCUUGGACAGAAGGUGACGCUGAGGCGCGAAAGUGUGGGGAGCGAACCGG
Molecule: ribosomal RNA, 253 nt
Filed under: uncultured bacterium
Lineage: Bacteria
Description: partial 16S ribosomal RNA
Rfam family: Bacterial small subunit ribosomal RNA
Source: RNAcentral